AGCGAACGCUGGCGGUAGGCCUAACACAUGCAAGUCGAACGGCAGCACAGUAAGAGCUUGCUCUUACGGGUGGCGAGUGGCGGACGGGUGAGGAAUACAUCGGAAUCUACUUUUUCGUGGGGGAUAACGUAGGGAAACUUACGCUAAUACCGCAUACGACCUACGGGUGAAAGCAGUGGAUCUUCGGACCUUGCGCGGUUGAAUGAGCCGAUGUCGGAUUAGCUAGUUGGCGGGGUAAAUGCCCACCAAGGCGAGGAUCCGUAGCUGGUCUGAGUGGAGGGUAGCCCGCACUGGAGCGGGGACAGGGUCCAGGCUCCUACGGGACGGCGCAGUGGGCAAUAGUGGACAGAGGGCGGAAGCCUUAUCCAACGAUACCGAGUCGGAUAAAGAGGCCUUCGGGUUGGAAAGCCGUUUUGUUGGGAAAAAAACGCAGCAGGUUGAUACGCAGCUGUUGUGACGGUAACCGAAGAAUAAGCACCGGCUAACUACGUG
Molecule: ribosomal RNA, 492 nt
Filed under: uncultured bacterium
Lineage: Bacteria
Description: partial 16S ribosomal RNA
Rfam family: Bacterial small subunit ribosomal RNA
Source: RNAcentral